RNAcentral lists this ribosomal RNA (253 nucleotides) under uncultured bacterium. Its description in RNAcentral is "partial 16S ribosomal RNA". It matches the Rfam family "Bacterial small subunit ribosomal RNA", at positions 524 to 776 of the family's 1533-position model. The record is from RNAcentral.
UACGAAGGGUGCAAGCGUUGCUCGGAAUUACUGGGCGUAAAGCGUGCGUAGGUGGUCGUUUAAGUCUGUCGUGAAAGCCCUGGGCUCAACCUGGGAAUUGCGAUGGAUACUGGGCGACUAGAGUGUGGUAGAGGAUAGUGGAAUUUCCGGUGUAGCAGUGAAAUGCGUAGAGAUCGGAAGGAACAUCUGUGGCGAAGGCGACUAUCUGGGCCAACACUGACACUGAGGCACGAAAGCGUGGGGAGCAAACAGG